RNAcentral lists this ribosomal RNA (495 nucleotides) under uncultured bacterium. RNAcentral's name for it is "partial 16S ribosomal RNA". It matches the Rfam family "Bacterial small subunit ribosomal RNA", at positions 28 to 505 of the family's 1533-position model. The record is from RNAcentral.
GAUGAACGCUGGCGGCGUGCCUAAUACAUGCAAGUCGAGCGAACAGACGAGGAGCUUGCUCCUCUUGCGUUAGCGGCGGACGGGUGAGUAACACGUGGAGAACCUACCUAUAAGACUGGGAUAACUUCGGGAAACCGGAGCUAAUACCGCAUAAUAUCUUUAACCGCAUGGUUCAAUAGUGAAAGAUGGUUUUGCUGUCACUAAUAGAUGUAUCCGCGCAGCAUUAGGUAGUUGGUAAGGUAACGGCUUACCAAGGCAACGAUGCGUAGCCGACCUGAGAGGGUGAUCGGCCACGCGGGAGCGGAGACACGCUACAGACUCCUACAGGAAGCAGCAGUAGGGAAUCGUCCGCGAUGGGAGAAAGGAUGACGGAGCAACGCCGCGGGAGUGAUGAAGGUCUUCGGAUAGUAAAACUCUGUUAGUAGAGAAGAACAAAUGUGUAAGUAACUAUGCCAGUCGAGACGGUACCUAAUGAGAAAGCCGCGGAUAACUGUG